UAGCGGCGGAUGGGUGAGGAACACGUGGAUAACCUGCCUCUCACUGGGGGAUAACAGUUGGAAACGACUGUUAAUACCGCAUAUGCUCACGGGACCGCAUGGUCCUGGGAGGAAAGAUUUAUCGGUGAGAGAUGGGUCCGCGCCGGAUUAGCCAGUUGGCGGGGUAACGGCCCACCAAGGCGAUGAUGCAUAGCCGGGCUGAGAGGCUGAACGGCCACAUUGGGACUGAGACACGGCCCAGACUCCUACGGGAGGCAGCAGUAGGGAAUUUUCGGCAAUGGGGGAAACCCUGACCGAGCAACGCCGCGUGAGUGAUGAAGGUCUUCGGAUUGUAAAGCUCUGUUGUAAGGGAAGAAUGAAUUGGAUAGAAUCCGAUUGUGACGGUACCUUACCAGAAAGCUACGGCUAACUACGUGCCAGCAGCCGCGGUAAUACGUAGGUAGCGAGCGUUAUCCGGAAUUAUUGGGCGUAAAGGGUGCGUAGGCGGCUUGUUAAGUUUAAGGUGAAAGAAUGGGGCUCAACCCCAUAAAGCCUUAGAUACUGGCAAGCUAGAGUACUGGAGAGGGUAGUGGAAUUCCAUGUGUAGCGGUAAAAUGCGUAGAUAUAUGGAGGAACACCGGUGGCGAAGGCGGCUACCUAGACAGAGACUGACGCUGAGGCACGAAAGCGUGGGGAGCAAAUAGGAUUAGAUACCCUAGUAGUCCACGCCGUAAACGAUGAAUGCUAGAUAUCGGGGCAACUCGGUGUCGAAACUAACGCGAUAAGCAUUCCGCCUGUGGAGUAUGCACGCAAGUGUGAAACAUAAAGGAAUUGACGGGGGCCCGCACAAGCGGUGGAGUAUGUGGUUUAAUUCGACGCAACGCGAAGAACCUUACCAGGCCUUGACAUCCCUUGCAAAACUCUAGAGAUAGAGCAGAGGUUAUCAAGGUGACAGGUGGUGCAUGGUUGUCGUCAGCUCGUGUCGUGAGAUGUUGGGUUAAGUCCCGCAACGAGCGCAACCCUUGUCUUCAGUUACCAUCAUUAAGUUGGGGACUCUGGAGAGACUGCCGGUGAUAAACCGGAGGAAGGUGGAGAUGACGUCAAAUCAUCAUGCCCCUUAUGGCCUGGGCUACACACGUACUACAAUGGCUGUUACAACGUGAAGCAACACUGUGAAGUGAAGCGAAUCACUAAAAGGCAGUCUCAGUUCGGAUUGAAGUCUGCAACUCGACUUCAUGAAGUUGGAAUCGCUAGUAAUCGCGGAUCAGCAUGCCGCGGUGAAUACGUUCUCGGGCCUUGUACACACCGCCCGUCAUACCAUGAGAGCUGGCAAUACCCGAAGCCGG
RNAcentral lists this ribosomal RNA (1325 nucleotides) under uncultured bacterium. RNAcentral describes it as "16S ribosomal RNA". It matches the Rfam family "Bacterial small subunit ribosomal RNA", at positions 93 to 1430 of the family's 1533-position model. The record is from RNAcentral.